Molecule: ribosomal RNA, 254 nt
Filed under: uncultured bacterium
Lineage: Bacteria
Description: partial 16S ribosomal RNA
Rfam family: Bacterial small subunit ribosomal RNA
Source: RNAcentral
UACGUAGGGUGCGAGCGUUUGUCCGGAAUUAUUGGGCGUAAAGAGCUUGUAGGCGGUUUGUCGCGUCUGCCGUGAAAAUCCGGGGCUCAACCCCGGACUUGCGGUGGGUACGGGCAGACUAGAGUGUGGUAGGGGAGAACGGAAUUCCUGGUGUAGCGGUGAAAUGCGCAGAUAUCAGGAGGAACACCGGUGGCGAAGGCAGUGUUCUGGGCCAGUACUGACGCUGAGGAGCGAAAGCGUGGGGAGCAAACAGG